This is a non-coding RNA of Heterocephalus glaber (naked mole-rat), 3099 nucleotides long. Lineage: Eukaryota; Metazoa; Chordata; Mammalia; Rodentia; Bathyergidae. The record is from RefSeq and is a predicted model, not a curated record.
UGGUCGCCGGGGCCCCGCCCCUCCCUGGGACUGUCCUGAAGCUCAGUGGACUCUGCCCGGGCUGGACCGCGGGCGUCCGCGCUCUGGUGUAGGUCGGAACUCGGGUCAUGGCAGUUCCAAGGCCCGCUCCCAGAACUGGCGCCAGGCCCAAGUUAGAUCUGCAAUUUCUCCAGCGGUUCCUGAGGAUACAGAAGGUCUUGUUUCCUUCUUGGUCAUCACAGAAUGUCUUGAUGUUCCUGACUCUCUUGUGUGUGGCUCUGCUGGAACAAUUGGUGAUCUACCAGGUUGGCUUGGUCCCCAGUCAGUACUAUGGUGUCCUGGGAAAUAAAGACUUGGAUGGGUUUAAGGCGCUGACAUUCCUGGCUGUCGUGCUCAUCGUUCUCAACUCCACACUGAAGAGCUUUGACCAGUUCAUCUCCAGCCUGCUGUACGUGAGCUGGAGGAAGGACCUCACCGAGCACCUGCACCGCCUCUACUUCCGGGCCCGUGUGUACUACACCCUCAACGUGCUACGGGAUGACAUCGACAAUCCGGACCAGCGCAUCAGCCAGGAUGUGGAGCGGCUCUGCCGGCAGCUCAGCAGCAUGGCCAGCAAGCUGAUCAUCUCCCCUUUCACCCUCAUUUACUACACUUUCCAGUGCUUCCAGAGCACAGGCUGGCUUGGGCCUAUGAGCAUCUUUGGGUAUUUCAUCCUGGGAACCAUAGUGAACAAGACUUUGAUGGGGCCCAUCGUGGCAAAGCUGAUGCAGCAGGAAAAGCUGGAGGGAGAUUUUAGGUUCAAGCACAUGCAGAUUCGGGUGAAUGCUGAGCCUGCUGCUUUCUACAGAGCCGGGCAUGUGGAGCACAUGAGGACAGACCGCAGGCUUCAGAGACUCCUUCAGACCCAGAGGGAGCUGAUGUCCAAGGAGCUCUGGCUGUACAUUGGUGUCAACACCUUUGACUAUAUGGGCAGCGUCCUGAGUUACAUUGUCAUCUCAAUCCCCAUUUUCAGCGGGGUCUAUGGAGACUUGAGCCCCACCGAGCUUAGCACCCUGGUCAGCAAGAAUGCAUUCGUGUGCAUCUACCUCAUCAGCUGUUUCACCAAGCUCAUUGACCUCUCCACCACACUCUCGGACGUGGCUGGUUACACGCACAGGCUUGGGGAGCUGCAGGAGGCCCUGCUGGACAUUUUCCUGACAUCGCAGGACUGUGAGAGUGAGCAGGGCUUGGACAGGGCCCCAGGAUGGCCGGCGCCCGAGGCCUCGGACACAGCUUUUCUCCUAGAGCGGGUCUGCAUCUCGGCCCCCUCCUCUGACAAACCCCUGGUCAAGGACCUGACCCUGAAGAUCUGCGAGGGGCAGAGUCUGCUCAUCACGGGCAACACGGGCACCGGCAAGACCUCCUUGCUGCGGGUUCUGGGCAGCCUCUGGGCCAGCACCCGGGGCUCCGUGCAGAUGUUGACCGACUUUGGGCCCCAUGGGGUACUGUUCCUGCCACAAAAGCCAUUCUUCACUGACGGGACCCUCCGGGAGCAGGUGAUCUAUCCCCUGAAGGAGAUCUACCCGGACUCAGGUUCUACUGAUGAUGAAAGGAUCCUGAGGUUCUUGGAAUUGGCAGGCCUGUCCAGCUUGGUGGCAAGGACAGAGGGUCUGGACCAGCAGGUGGAUUGGAACUGUGUUCAUCUCGAGGUCCCUUCCCUAGGUACGAUGUCCUGUCCCCAGGGGAGAUGCAAAGGCUCUCUUUUGCUCGACUCUUCUACCUGCAGCCAAAGUAUGCAGUGCUUGAUGAAGCCACCAGCGCCCUGACGGAGGAGGUUGAGAGUGAGCUCUACCACAUCGGCCAGCAGCUAGGGAUGACGUUCAUCAGCGUGGGACAUCGGCCCAGCCUGGAGAAGUUUCACUCCUGGGUUCUGAAACUCUGUGGAGGAGGAAGAUGGGAGCUGACAAGAAUCAAAGUGGAGUGAAGUGAGGACGUGGAUGGAGCUGAACUCAGGACAGACCCUCUGUCCCCGGGGAGACCAGGAGCACUGAUGGGCAAGACCGACGCAGGGCCACUUCACAGGGCCUCUGCAGGAGCCCUGGCAGUGGCAGGCCCCCCAGGAGUGGCCCACAGGUGACACUGAGAUCUCCUCAGGGCUGCUCUUGGGCCUCCACCAGGGCCUCCACAUGCCAGAAGUGCCGAUUACUUACAAACUACUUCAGAUUGUAUUUGUUGAAGAAAAAUCCAGACAUGUGCAAGCUAUAGGAAAUGAAGGGUCAGGAUGGAAAGGAUACCGGACCUGGAGUCAAGAGAGCCAGUGAAAUUUUGCUACAAUAGAAUUUUUUUUUUUUUUUUUUGGUACCAGGGAUUGAACUCGGGUUCUUGCACUUGCACAGGAAACGGCGAAACCACUGAGUUAAAUCCCUGGCCCUACAAUAAAUUUUUAACUUUAAUUAACUGACCACUUAAUUUUAUAACUUUUUUAAAAAGAAAAACAUUUUUUAAAAGUUUUUGUAUCUUUUGCUCUUUCUCUGCCUUCUCUACCAUAGAACGAUCUUUUUAUUGAUGCUCAGACUUGGCUCUGAGAGGGAAGGGAGCCCUACUCAGCUGGCCCAGCACCUGCUGCCCAUGGCUUUCACCCCACGUUCCCCUCCACUGAAGCCACUAACCUUCAGGGCCCUCCUGGCUUUGUUUUCUUUUUUUUUUUUUUUUUUUGGUACCGGGGAUCCAACUCGGGUCCUUGUGCUUGCAAGGCAGGCAGUGGAACCACUGAGCUAAAUCCCCGGCCCUAGCUUUGUUUUCUUAACCCAGGUGAAAACAAAUCCCUUUAUCCUUACCAACUAAAAUAAGCUUGAAAUUUUUUUCAAAAAUAUCUAUAUUUAGGAACAACAAAACCAGGCUUAGUGGUGCAUGCCUGUAAUCCCAGCACUCGGGAGGCUGAGGCAGGAGGAUCACCAUGAGUUUGAGCCCAGGCUACAUAGUGAGCUCAGAGUCAGCCUGAACUACAUAGUGAGACCCUGUCUCAAAAAUAAAAACAACUAAACAGGCAAAACCCAGAAAGCACAAAAGCAUGAAGUAGAAAGUUACUGACCCAAAAGUUCCUUAUUCCAAAACAAUGUGUCCAAAGUUUAGUUGUCUACA